Molecule: ribosomal RNA, 1360 nt
Filed under: uncultured organism
Description: bacterial SSU rRNA
Rfam family: Bacterial small subunit ribosomal RNA
Source: RNAcentral
ACACAUGCAAGUCGGACGAGAAAUUUCCCGCUUGCGGGAAAGAGUAAAGUGGCGCACGGGUGAGUAACACGUGGGUAACCUGCCCCUGAAUCUGGAAUAACCUCGCGAAAGCGUGGCUAAUACCGGAUAUUGUCCCUGGUGCUAUGGCAUCUUGGAUGAAAGGUGACCUCUUCAUGAAAGUUGUCGUUCAGGGAGGGGCCCGCGGACCAUUAGCUUGUUGGUGGGGUAACGGCUCACCAAGGCGACGAUGGUUAGCUGGUCUGAGAGGAUGAUCAGCCACACUGGAACUGGAACACGGUCCAGACUCCUACGGGAGGCAGCAGUGAGGAAUUUUGCGCAAUGGGGGAAACCCUGACGCAGCAACGCCGCGUGAGUGAAGAAGGCCCUCGGGUCGUAAAGCUCUGUCAAGUGGGAAAAAAUGCUUCCGGUGAAUAGCCGGAAGAGCUGAUGGUACCACUAGAGGAAGCACCGGCUAACUCCGUGCCAGCAGCCGCGGUAAUACGGAGGGUGCAAGCGUUGUUCGGAAUUACUGGGCGUAAAGAGCGUGUAGGCGGUUUGGUAAGUCAGAUGUGAAAGCCCUGGGCUCAACCCAGGAAGUGCAUUUGAAACUACCAUCCUUGAGUAUGGGAGAGGAGAGUGGAAUUCCCAGUGUAGAGGUGAAAUUCGUAGAUAUUGGGAGGAACACCCGUGGCGAAGGCGGCUCUCUGGACCAAUACUGACGCUGAGACGCGAAAGCGUGGGGAGCAAACAGGAUUAGAUACCCUGGUAGUCCACGCCGUAAACGAUGAGAACUAGGUGUAGCGGGUAUUGACCCCUGCUGUGCCGAAGUUAACGCAUUAAGUUCUCCGCCUGGGGAGUACGGCACGCAAGGGCUAAAACUUCAAAGGAAUUGACGGGGGCCCGCACAAGCGGUGGAGCAUGUGGUUUAAUUCGACGCAACGCGAAGAACCUUACCUGGGUUUGACAUCCUCUGCCAGCCCCGGAAACGGGGUUUUCCCUGCUUGCAGGGACAGAGUGACAGGUGCUGCAUGGCUGUCGUCAGCUCGUGUCGUGAGAUGUUGGGUUAAGUCCCGCAACGAGCGCAACCCUUGUCUUUAGUUGCCAGUAUUGAGUUGGGCACUCUAAAGAGACUGCCUCGGUUAACGGGGAGGAAGGUGGGGAUGACGUCAAGUCCUCAUGGCCUUUAUACCCAGGGCUACACACGUGCUACAAUGGGCUGUACAAAGGGUUGCUAGUUCGCGAGGACGCGCUAAUCCCAAAAAGCAGCUCUCAGUUCGGAUUGAAGUCUGCAACUCGACUUCAUGAAGUUGGAAUCGCUAGUAAUCGUGGAUCAGCAUGCCACGGUGAAUACGUUCCCGGG